Molecule: unclassified non-coding RNA, 675 nt
Filed under: Hevea brasiliensis (rubber tree)
Lineage: Eukaryota; Viridiplantae; Streptophyta; Magnoliopsida; Malpighiales; Euphorbiaceae
Source: RNAcentral
GUGAAAAAUGUGUAGAAAUAUAAUAGGUAUGUAGGUUUAGACUUAAUGUAAAUUUUUAGGCCAAGGUAUGCCAGAAAGUAAUGUUAUUAUACUUUUCAAAUGUAGAAAAUAGAUUCUGUAAGAAAUUUGUACGCCAAUUAUAGCAACAAGGGUUUUAUGGGGAAGGAAUUGAAUAAUCAUAGGCAGCUGCUGUUUCUUGUGCAUAUGUUAAAUUAAAUGAAGUCAUGGAAACUUCUAGAGGAAUUCCUACUUAUCUCUUGGAUAUGGAUAAUCUGAUUACUUGGAGUAGGCACAUAAUUUCUUCAAGGACCAUUAUGAUUUACUUGUGCAGGUUCGACCAGAAUGCUAUGCUUACACUAGAUUAACCUUGUUUCUUGAAAAUUUUAUGGAAGAAUUUUAUAUGCUACCUUUUAUUUUCUAAUUGACAAGUCGAUUCAAAAGGUGGACGUAUAAGAACAUAACUGAUGGAAAGCUAAAAGGACAAGAAAUGGAAUCAGAACACGAGGGGACUUGAAAAGUGUACGUGGUAAGUGUAGCAUGACAGUAACAAAGAAGCCUUGUGUUAAGAUUAUAAGUACAAGAAGAAAAAAAGAAAGAAAGGAAGAGAAGGAAAAGAACCACAAAGGGCUACAUCUUUAUUUUCAUUAAUUUUAUAAAAUAAAAGAUUACAUAUUU